Molecule: signal recognition particle RNA, 290 nt
Filed under: Microcebus murinus (gray mouse lemur)
Lineage: Eukaryota; Metazoa; Chordata; Mammalia; Primates; Cheirogaleidae
Description: Metazoan signal recognition particle RNA (ENSMICG00000035074.2)
Rfam family: Metazoan signal recognition particle RNA
About the family: The signal recognition particle (SRP) is a universally conserved ribonucleoprotein. It is involved in the co-translational targeting of proteins to membranes. The eukaryotic SRP consists of a 300-nucleotide 7S RNA and six proteins: SRPs 72, 68, 54, 19, 14, and 9.
Source: RNAcentral
ACAGGGCACAGCAGGGCAUGCCUAUAGUCCCAGCUAUUCAGGAGGCAGAGGUGGGAAAAUUGCUUGAGCCCAGAUUUUAUAGGCUGUUACAGUAUGCUGUGCCAAGCAGGUGUCCCUACUAAGUUCUUCAUCAACAUGGUAACCUCCUAAGAGUGUGGGACCACCAGAUUGCCUAAGGAGGGGUGAGCGGGUCCCGGCUGGAAAUGGAGCAGACACCCUGUGCCUGCAGGAUGGUGUUUGUGAAUAGACACAGCACUCUGAUCUGGGCAACAAAGCGUGACCCUGAUUUU